This 403-nucleotide ribosomal RNA is filed under the name uncultured soil bacterium. Its description in RNAcentral is "bacterial SSU rRNA". It matches the Rfam family "Bacterial small subunit ribosomal RNA", at positions 26 to 457 of the family's 1533-position model. The record is from RNAcentral.
AGAACGAACGCUGGCGGCAUGCCUAAUACAUGCAAGUCGAACGAACACUUCGGUGUUAGUGGCGCACGGGUGCGUAACGCGUGGGAAUCUGCCCUUGGGUUCGGAAUAACAGUUGGAAACGACUGCUAAUACCGGAUGAUAUCGAAAGAUCAAAGAUUUAUCGCCCAGGGAUGAGCCCGCGUAGGAUUAGCUAGUUGGUGAGGUAAGGCUCACAAGGCACGAUCCUUAGCUGGUCUGAGAGGAUGAUCAGCCAACACUGGGACUGAGACACGGCCCAGACUCCGUACGGGAGCAGCAGGUAGGGAAUACUUGGACAAGUGGGCGCAAGCCUGAUCCAGCAAUGCCGCGUGAGUGAUGAAGCCGUUAGGUGUAAAGCUUCUUUACCCGAAGAUGAAUAAUAGAC